CGCACAUUUAAAAACAUGUUGCUGAGAUUCCUCCAGAAAGGGCUGACAUUUCACAAUAUUCCUCUGAUGCCGGGAUUACUGCUCAACAUGAUGAAAACGUGGUUUAUUCAAAACAGAUUGGGGCGGAAGAAAACAAUGGCACGGCCCCCGGAGAGGCCCAGCAGGCUCCCGGGAGAGGGGGAGAGGCGAGGGAGGCAGCCACAAGAAGCCCCAGACCCCAGCGUGGCCUGUGUCCAAGGAGGCGGGGCCCACACUUGGGGAGGGAGCGGGUCACACGGACACGGGGUCCACGCUGGCCCCGUCUGGCUUCUGCGGUGUGGUGCUGGCUGUGGUUCGUGGGGGCAGUGCUAAGUGCCAGGCAGGAUCCACCAAGCGAAGGGCCCAGUAGCACCCUGUACCCCCACUCUGCCCAUUUUCCAGUAGGAGAAACUGAGUCCGUGCAGCGUGCCCACGUUCGCAGAGCUAGCCAGAAAGGGUCAUGGGCACAGCGACGUGGGACCUGCUGCGGGACUUGGACAGGAGAAUUUGCAGCUCUGGGCCUAUUUCCUCACCUGCAAGGGGGGGAUGAGAACCAGACCUGCUCUGCCUGCCUUGUUGGGUUGCUGUGGGUUCAGGAAGCAGCAAGUUCUGGGGGAAGAGGAGGAGGCAGAGAGAGGUGUCUCAGCUCCUCCUGCAUGGACACCGCCAUAGCUGGGAUGCCCAGGAGCUGGGCUCCUUCUGCUCUGCCUUGUGGAGGCCCUAGAGCAGGUGUCUCUGGGCCUCCUUCCCUUGCGCUGUGGCAUGGCUCAGCCACCCUGGAGGAGGCCCCAGAGCGUCCUGGAUGAAGCCAGGGCUUGGGGCAGGGCCAGCUCCUACCCCACCUGCCACUAGUGACCGUGGCCCCUCCCUGUGUCCGAGACACUGUCUGUCCCUGGGGGUCGUCGGUGGACAUGAGAAACAGAGGUCACCGUGGAGGAAAGGCCUCCAACUCAGAGUCCAAGCAGCGCCCAGAAGGUUCUGUCCAAGAGGUGUGUCCAGAACCAGGAGCCCCUUUCAGCUGCCUGCAGCCCAACGCAGGAGAGCCGUGCCAGGCUUGGUGUCCCACCAAGAGACCCACACAGGCUCUCUCGAGCCUCAGGCCCAGAGAGUGGGCAGCUCCCGGCCGCGUGGGGCAUUCAGGCUCUGUGGCCCAGAUGCC
Molecule: long non-coding RNA, 1177 nt
Filed under: Oryctolagus cuniculus (rabbit)
Lineage: Eukaryota; Metazoa; Chordata; Mammalia; Lagomorpha; Leporidae
Description: lncRNA (ENSOCUG00000033832.1)
Source: RNAcentral